RNAcentral lists this ribosomal RNA (420 nucleotides) under uncultured bacterium. RNAcentral's name for it is "bacterial SSU rRNA". It matches the Rfam family "Bacterial small subunit ribosomal RNA", at positions 754 to 1174 of the family's 1533-position model. The record is from RNAcentral.
CGAAAGCGUGGGGAGCAAACAGGAUUAGAUACCCUGGUAGUCCACGCCGUAAACGAUGUCGAUUUGGAGGUUGUGCCCUUGAGGCGUGGCUUCCGGAGCUAACGCGUUAAAUCGACCGCCUGGGGAGUACGGCCGCAAGGUUAAAACUCAAAUGAAUUGACGGGGGCCCGCACAAGCGGUGGAGCAUGUGGUUUAAUUCGAUGCAACGCGAAGAACCUUACCUGGUCUUGACAUCCACAGAACUUUCCAGAGAUGGAUUGGUGCCUUCGGGAACUGUGAGACAGGUGCUGCAUGGCUGUCGUCAGCUCGUGUUGUGAAAUGUUGGGUUAAGUCCCGCAACGAGCGCAACCCUUAUCCUUUGUUGCCAGCGGUCCGGCCGGGAACUCAAAGGAGACUGCCAGUGAUAAACUGGAGGAAGGU